This 623-nucleotide ribosomal RNA is filed under the name Staphylococcus capitis. RNAcentral describes it as "bacterial SSU rRNA". It matches the Rfam family "Bacterial small subunit ribosomal RNA", at positions 918 to 1533 of the family's 1533-position model. Lineage: Bacteria; Bacillati; Bacillota; Bacilli; Caryophanales; Staphylococcaceae. The record is from RNAcentral.
GACCCGCACAAGCGGUGGAGCAUGUGGUUUAAUUCGAAGCAACGCGAAGAACCUUACCAAAUCUUGACAUCCUCUGAUCCCUCUAGAGAUAGAGUUUUCCCCUUCGGGGGACAGAGUGACAGGUGGUGCAUGGUUGUCGUCAGCUCGUGUCGUGAGAUGUUGGGUUAAGUCCCGCAACGAGCGCAACCCUUAAGCUUAGUUGCCAUCAUUAAGUUGGGCACUCUAAGUUGACUGCCGGUGACAAACCGGAGGAAGGUGGGGAUGACGUCAAAUCAUCAUGCCCCUUAUGAUUUGGGCUACACACGUGCUACAAUGGACAAUACAAAGGGUAGCGAAACCGCGAGGUCAAGCAAAUCCCAUAAAGUUGUUCUCAGUUCGGAUUGUAGUCUGCAACUCGACUACAUGAAGCUGGAAUCGCUAGUAAUCGUAGAUCAGCAUGCUACGGUGAAUACGUUCCCGGGUCUUGUACACACCGCCCGUCACACCACGAGAGUUUGUAACACCCGAAGCCGGUGGAGUAACCUUUUGGAGCUAGCCGUCGAAGGUGGGACAAAUGAUUGGGGUGAAGUCGUAACAAGGUAGCCGUAUCGGAAGGUGCGGCUGGAUCACCUCCUUUCUAAGGA